UUUAAUUGCCAGCAUAGCUAUUCUUUUACAAUGAAAGUAUUUACAGGACUUAUGAAACAUAUCAAAGGAAUACAUUUCUUCCUUCAUUAUAUGAAAGAAUUUUGGUACUAAAUACAAGGUUACAAUCUAAUUAAACAGUACCGAUAUCGGACCUAACAACGGACGUAUCAAGUUGAAAUUCAAAAGAUUCGGCCAAUUUGACUGCAUCUGAAAUUCUAAGCCUUGUUCCUUGCUGUGCAACAACAGUGGCUGCAACCUUAGCUGCUAUUGUACCUAUAUUUCUUAAAUCCGACACGCCUCUUAAAACACCAUACAAUAUGCCAGAUGCAUAUGCAUCACCAGCACCACAAGUGUCUACCGGAACACAUGGAGAAGGAGGGAUGUAUACUGCUUCACCUUUUACGCCUAUGUAAGAGCCUCGGAGACCAUCGGUAACGGAUACUAGAGGGACAAACUGACUUAGAUACCUUGUAACAGAAACAGUGCUUUCCUUUGCAUCAAAAUUACAUAGAGCUCUCGCCUCGUCAGCGUUCGCGAAGAUUAAAUCUGCAUAAUUGCCUACAAUUUCCCUAAAUGAUCAUAAUGUCUCUCGAUGCAUGUAACGUCUGAAGCUGUUACUGCAACCAAAGCACCGUUACUCCUAGCUUCCUUACAAGCUUUUGUUAUUGCUUUAAUAGU
RNAcentral lists this long non-coding RNA (678 nucleotides) under Medicago truncatula (barrel medic). Its description in RNAcentral is "lncRNA gene24246". The record is from RNAcentral. Lineage: Eukaryota; Viridiplantae; Streptophyta; Magnoliopsida; Fabales; Fabaceae.